GACGAACGCUGGCGGCGUGCCUAAUACAUGCAAGUAGAACGCUGAAGGAGGAGCUUGCUUCUCUGGAUGAGUUGCGAACGGGUGAGUAACGCGUAGGUAACCUGCCUGGUAGCGGGGGAUAACUAUUGGAAACGAUAGCUAAUACCGCAUAAGAGUAGAUGUUGCAUGACAUUUGCUUAAAAGGUGCAAUUGCAUCACUACCAGAUGGACCUGCGUUGUAUUAGCUAGUUGGUGGGGUAACGGCUCACCAAGGCGACGAUACAUAGCCGACCUGAGAGGGUGAUCGGCCACACUUGGACCUAGACACGGCCCCGACUCCUACGGGAGGCAGCAGUAGGGAAUCUUCGGCAAUGGACGGAAGUCUGACUGAGCAACGCCGCGUGAGUGAAGAAGGUUUUCGGAUCGUAAAGCUCUGUUGUAAGAGAAGAACGAGUGUGAGAGUGGAAAGUUCACACUGUGACGGUAUCUUACCAGAAAGGGACGGCUAACUACGUG
Molecule: ribosomal RNA, 495 nt
Filed under: uncultured bacterium
Lineage: Bacteria
Description: partial 16S ribosomal RNA
Rfam family: Bacterial small subunit ribosomal RNA
Source: RNAcentral